This 799-nucleotide long non-coding RNA is filed under the name Homo sapiens (human). RNAcentral describes it as "HSALNT0009245". The record is from RNAcentral. Lineage: Eukaryota; Metazoa; Chordata; Mammalia; Primates; Hominidae.
CCGGGCUCCCGCACGCAGGCUGGUCUUCCACGCGCAGCUGGCGCACGGUAGUGCCACGGGCCGAGUGGAGGGCUUCUCCAGCAUCCAGGAGCUCUACGCCCAGAUCGCGGGCGCGUUUGAAAUCUCGCCGUCGGAGAUGGAGUCUAGCUCUGUCGCCCAGGUUGAAGUGCAACGGUGUGAUCGUGGCUCACUGCAACCUCCGCCUUCUGUGUUCAAGUGAUCCUCCUGCCUCAGCCUCCUGAAUAGCUGGGAUUACAGGCACACGCCAUCAUGCCUGGAUAAUUUUUGUGUUUUUGUAGAGAUGGGGUUUCACCAUGUUGGCCAGGCUGGUCUCAAACUCCUGACCUCAGGUGAUCCGCCCACCUCGGCCUCCCAAAGUGAGCUGGGAUUACCGACGUGAGCUACUGCACCUGGCCGGUUCCAAGUCUAUUACAUAGCAGCUGUGAGAUUCUUGGUAGCUGCAUUCAAAUUCUAAACACUAACCUGGAAAAACGUCUUUUGUAAACAAAUUUUUUUUUUCAAUAAAAGCCUCAGACUUAACCACAAAAAUAUUUAUUGCCUCAAAAAGAUGUUGAUGUGAGACUGACAGUUGUGGACUUCAGCUAGUGUUUUGUGGUCCCUGAAGGAAUAAGCUAAUGAAGGCUGUGAAUCAGUUAAGAUUUGUUAUUAAGUUGAGACAGAUGGCCAGUUAUGCAAAAAUCCCUCAUAUCUGAUGCCUUUUUUCAAAACAAUUAAAUGAACAAUUCAGUAAAAAGAAAAAAAACCCUGUAAAUUAAUCUCAUCUAAAGAACAAUUAACU